This is a long non-coding RNA of Mus musculus (house mouse), 2350 nucleotides long. RefSeq annotates it as predicted gene, 31638. The transcript has 3 exons. NCBI's taxonomy places the organism in Eukaryota, Metazoa, Chordata, Mammalia, Rodentia, Muridae. The record is from RefSeq and is a predicted model, not a curated record.
GGCGACUGGGAAAGGAAACAGACAGAAGAUCCCAAUACCGCAGAGCAAAGAGGCACAGGAAACAGCUUUUAUUUGUUACAUGACUCAGAACUCCAAGAAACUGAGGUUCCCAUAGGACAUUGUUUUCCAUGUGAUAUAGAAAUUAAUUUAUUUUCUAAGAAAAUAAGUACUGGUAAACACUGGUGAAGAUGUAGCUCAGGGCUGGAGCUACAAACCUAACAUUCUGGAUUUAGUCUUCAACACUGGGGGUGGGGGAGGUAUGGGGUGUCUUAGGGUUGCCGUUGCUUGGAUAGACCAACAGCUCGGGGAGGAAAGGGCUUAACUGGUUUAAUCAGCUCAGGCUUCCACAUCACAGUUCAUCACUGAAGGCUACUGACCAGCCCUCAAAGAGGACAGGAGCUGAUGUGGAGGUCAUGGAGGAAUGCUGCUCACUGGCUCAUUCCUCAGGCUUGCUCAGUCUGGCCUCUUACAGAACCCAGGACCCCAGCCCAGGGAUGGCACCACCCACACUGGACUGAGCCCUCCUCCAUCAAUCACUAAUCAAGAAAAUGCCCUACAGGCUUGUGUCAUGUUGCCUGAAAACUAGCCAGCGCAGGAGGGGAGGGCGUAGUUAUGCAGAAACAUAAGAAAGAAAGAAAUGACUUAGGCGGUUCUAAAACCCAGAAUGUGAAAAGGUGGUUUUCAGUAUUGUGGAAAGGCCAAGACCCCAACUCUGCUGUGUUCCUUGGAGAGAAGGGAAAUGGAAUGAAGGAGAGACUAUCAGGUCAGGUUGGGAGGGGAAUGGGUUCAGCUCCUUUAUAGGAAGUAACAUCUGUGGCUUUGACAGUUGUGGCUAAGAGAGGAGAAAAGAAAAGAAAACUCGAGGUUUUUAGCUUGAGGCAAAGGUAAUGACAAAGGUAAAGAAAAUAGAAAAUCUAGGCAGCCAAGCAGAUUUGCAGGGAAAAAAAAAUAAAGAAAUGAAAUUAUAUAAAGAUGAAGAGCCCUGUAGGUUUUUCAUCUGAGCUCUACCCACCUUUGGCGUCCUCCUCCAAAUAGUUCAGACUGCUCCCUAGACGUGUCCUGUCUGGGAAGAAGACUCGGAGAAACUGAAAUCGAGACCAUGUUGAGCUGUGGCACUGACAGUCAGCACAAUGGCCCCUGCGGUUCUAAGCCACAGUUCUACUUAAAAGAGAAACCCUAAAUUUGCAUCUGGACUUCUGCUGCGACCCUGUACCUAAGAACACUGAUACCCAAGAUGAUGCAGACUAUUGCCGUGGCCGUUGCUUGCACGCUGGAACUGAAUGGUAAGAACCUAUUGGUGAAGAUGUCACCUGCUUCGGUGACAGGAUAUGGAGAAAUGAGACUGGAACUGGGCUAAAAGUUUCCUCCCUGCUGGCUGAUCUACCUGUUGCUGGAAGACAUCUCGCAGUUAGCCAGAGUGAAGGGCAGUUACUGCUAACAGUCCUACUCAGCUAUGAACGUUGUGUGCUAUAUCAACGAUACAGGGACCCAUGGGUAAUCGUGAUGUGACUAUUACAGGUGCAACUAAUAAUUUUCCAUUUGUAUUUAAAGUCCACUCCAUAGAAGAAAACACUCAUCUAGUGCUGCAAGCCAGGGUGGGUCGUAGGCUAUUGCUUUGUUAAACUGAUGCUUUAAUCCUGUUAGUUUAAAAAAUACGUUGGAAUAUAUAUAUUGAGUUCAUAUGUUCACAUGUGUGUGGAGGCCAGAAAUUGAGAUCAGCCAUCUCUAUUGCUCACCACCUUAUUUUUGAAACAGGUCUGUCAGUGAAUGCGUUGCUCACUAAGUCUUCUAGAACGGCUGGCCAGGGAGCUCCAGACACCACCCAAGUCUGUCCCUUGGUGCUGGGGUUACAGGUGUGUGCUGCUGCUACAGAUUGGUCAGGAGGGGGGGAGGUAGGGGGAUCUUUACGAAGGUCCUCUGGAUUGCAUGGCAAACAUUGUUCUGAGUCAUCUGCCCAGGUGACCCCAGGUCACAGUUUCUUAAACCCAUAAGGGAUCACUGUAACUUAAUGUCAGGGUUGUGAAAAAUUUGGCAGUAGUGGGUUUCUGAGUAUGCAAUGAUCACAGCCCAAUUCAAAAAUCAAAUGUAAUGAAUGGUGUUUCUGGCAAGGCUCACCCUGCAGUACCACAUAACUUCAUAAGCGCCUCGGUUCUGUACAUGAAACAUGAAAAUGCUGUACCGUCCAUGGCAGCAGGCCAUGUGACACCAACAACUGGGCUCAGAUGCAAGAUUACUGUAUAUAAUGAAGUGCAGCAUGUUUAGUACAAAGCUCUGCUCCAUAGAAAUUACAGAAACAUUGUAAUUUCAUUUUGGACAGCAAGGAGUUAGUAUUUUAUCAUUGUUACAUCAA